RNAcentral lists this ribosomal RNA (510 nucleotides) under Hercostomus nigripennis. Its description in RNAcentral is "partial 16S ribosomal RNA". It matches the Rfam family "Bacterial large subunit ribosomal RNA", at positions 1829 to 2597 of the family's 2925-position model. Lineage: Eukaryota; Metazoa; Arthropoda; Insecta; Diptera; Dolichopodidae. The record is from RNAcentral.
GUCUUUUUGAGUUUAAUUUAAAGUCUAAUCUGCCCACUGAUAAAUAUUUAAGGGCCGCAGUAUUUUGACUGUGCAAAGGUAGCAUAAUCAUUAGUCUUUUAAUUGAGGGCUUGUAUGAAUGAUUGGACGAGAUAUAUACUGUCUCAUGAAAAUUUAAAUAGAAUUUUAUUUUUUAGUUAAAAAGCUAAAAUAUAUUUAAAAGACGAGAAGACCCUAUAGAUCUUUAUAAUUUAUUUAUAGAUUUUUUUAGGUUAUUUUUUAGGUCUAUAAUUUAAAUUAUUUUGUUGGGGUGACAAUGAAAUUUAAUAAACUUUCAUAAUUUUAUUACAUUGAUUUAUGAUUUAUUGAUCCACUAUUAGUGAUUGAAAAUUUAAGUUACCUUAGGGAUAACAGCGUAAUUAUUUUGGAGAGUUCCUAUCGAUAAAAUAGUUUGCGACCUCGAUGUUGGAUUAAGAUUAAUUCUAGGUGUAGUCGCUUAGUUUAUUAAGUCUGUUCGUCUUUUAAUUUCUU